CAAGGAGUCUAGCAUGUGCGCGAGUCAUUGGGACUAGCGAAACCUAAAGGCGUAAUGAAAGUGAAGGUCCGCCGAGCGCGGACAGAGGGAGGAUGGGCGGUAUAUAGCGACCGCUCCGCACUCCCGGGGCGUCUCGUUCUCAUCGCGAGAAGAGGCGCACCAAGAGCGUACACGCUGGGACCCGAAAGAUGGUGAACUAUGCCUGGUCAGGACGAAGUCAGGGGAAACCCUGAUGGAGGUCCGUAGCGAUUCUGACGUGCAAAUCGAUCGUCGGAACUGGGUAUAGGGGCGAAAGACUAAUCGAACCAUCUAGUAGCUGGUUCCCUCCGAAGUUUCCCUCAGGAUAGCUGGCGCUCGCAUCUCGCGAGUCUCAUUCGGUAAAGCGAAUGAUUAGAGGCAUUGGGGUCGAAACGGCCUCAACCUAUUCUCAAACUUUAAAUGGGUGAGAUCUCCGGCUUGCUUGAACUGUGAAGCCGCGAGAUAUCGGAUCAGAGUGCCAAGUGGGCCACUUUUGGUAAGCAGAACUGGCGCUGUGGGAUGAACCAAACGCAGAGUUAAAGCGCCUAAAUCGACGCUUAUGGGAUACCAUGAAAGGCGUUGGUAACUUAAGACAGCAGGACGGUGGCCAUGGAAGUCGGA
Molecule: ribosomal RNA, 639 nt
Filed under: Pachypus sp. Psp1
Lineage: Eukaryota; Metazoa; Arthropoda; Insecta; Coleoptera; Scarabaeidae
Description: partial 28S ribosomal RNA
Rfam family: Eukaryotic large subunit ribosomal RNA
Source: RNAcentral